This 490-nucleotide ribosomal RNA is filed under the name uncultured bacterium. RNAcentral describes it as "partial 16S ribosomal RNA". It matches the Rfam family "Bacterial small subunit ribosomal RNA", at positions 38 to 507 of the family's 1533-position model. The record is from RNAcentral.
GGGGGGGGGGGGGGGGGGGCGGGGCGCGGGGGGGGCGGGGGGUGGCGGGGCGCAGCUUGCUGCUGCGCUGACGAGUGGCGGGCGGGUGAGUGCUGGCUGGGAAACUGCCGGAUGGAGGGGGAUAACUACUGGAAACGGUAGCUAAUACCGCAUAACGUCGCAGGACAAAAGAGGGGGAACUUAGGGCCUCUUGCCAUCGGAUGUGCCCAGAUGGGAUUAGCUAGUAGGUGGGGUAACGGCUCACCUACGCGACGAUCCCUAGCUGGUCUGAGAGGAUGACCAGCCACACUGGAACUGAGACACGGUCCAGACUCCUACGGGAGGCAGCAGUGGGGAAUAUUGCACAAAGGGCGCAAGCCUGAUGCAGCCAUGCCGCGUGUAUGAAGAAGGCCUUCGGGUUGUAAAGUACUUUCAGCGGGGAGGAAGGGAGUAAAGUUAAUACCUUUGCUCAUCGACGUUACCCGCAGAAGAAGCACCGGCUAACUCCGUG